This 398-nucleotide ribosomal RNA is filed under the name uncultured bacterium. RNAcentral's name for it is "partial 16S ribosomal RNA". It matches the Rfam family "Bacterial small subunit ribosomal RNA", at positions 360 to 773 of the family's 1533-position model. The record is from RNAcentral.
AAUAAUGCACAAUGGAGGGAACUCUGAUGCAGCAACGCCGCGUGAGUGAAGAAGGUUUUCGGAUCGUAACACUCUGUCAUUGGGGAAGAAUAAAUGACGGUACCCAAUGAGGAAGCCCCGGCUAACUACGUGCCAGCAGCCGCGGUAAUACGUAGGGGGCAAGCGUUGUCCGGAAUUAUUGGGCGUAAAGGGUGCGUAGGCGGCCUUUUAAGUCAGAUGUGAAAGACCACGGCUUAACCGUGGGGUUGCAUUUGAAACUGGAGGGCUUGAGUAUCGGAGAGGGUAGUGGAAUUCCCAGUGUAGCGGUGGAAUGCGUAGAGAUGUGGAGGAGUACCGAUGGCGAAGGCAGCCCCCUGGGAUGAUACUGACGCUCAUGCACGAAAGCGUGGGGAGCAAAC